GGCUCUGGCCGAAAGAAACCAGAUGACAUCAGCAAGCAAGACAAGGCCAUUGCUUUGAUCCAGUCUGUAUUGCGAGGCCACAUUUGUCGUUUAGAACAGUUGGCUCUCAUCCCAACGUUAGAUGACAUUUCUCCUGGAGAAGAGGAGGACAGAUUAGAUGUUGCUCUUACUGCAGUACGGAAGGCUGCUAAAGCUGUGUUUGCUGAAAAGAACAGCAAGGUGAUGACUUGACAGACCACACCGAUUACCAGUAUGGUAAAUGGCCUUUUGUUAUUUUUAAUGUAUUAUUACACAGGUUUAGCUGUGUUUGCAUUAUCAUGUUUUCUGUAAACUAUCAAAUAGAAGAAACAGUAUCUUAUAGUUCUGGUUGCAGAUAUAAAACUGUCUAAUAUAUGAAACUUUCUGCAUGUAGGUGAUUAGGAGGUAAAGUCUGUGUUGAAAAUAGCAAUGCUGUUUAAUAAUUAAUUCAACAAAAGUUAAAAGUUGUUCAGAUGGUAAAGUACACCUUUGUACGUUAAUCAGAACUGUGUUUCCAGUAAUACAUUGUGGUUUUAUUUUAAAGCAGUAUUUUGUGUGACUGUGAAUUUUAUAUAUUUUAUGCAACCAUAUAGGUAUGGAUGUUUGUGUUAAAGGUGAUUUAUUUGAUACUGGACAUUACCAACACAGUAUAAUUUCAUUUAGAAUAUUUUGCUAGAUGUUGGUUAGUUUUGUAGCUUUUCCUAACAAAACAACAGGUUGGAUAUGUGGUCAAAGGUUUUUUAUAUCAUAGUUACAGUUCUUCCAACUCAAUAGCAGGUUGGCAUUAUAUAGUGUUUUUAGAUGUAUCCACAUUAGUUGUUUAUGUCCUUUACAUGCAUU
Limulus polyphemus (Atlantic horseshoe crab) is the source of this 858-nucleotide long non-coding RNA. RefSeq lists it as uncharacterized. Lineage: Eukaryota; Metazoa; Arthropoda; Merostomata; Xiphosura; Limulidae. The record is from RefSeq and is a predicted model, not a curated record. The transcript has 3 exons.